CCUCGUCCAGCCGCCUGUCUGUGCCUAAGGAGAUGAGGUUGCUGAAUUCCUUCUCUAGGAGUUGCCGGGCCUGGAGAAGGAGGCGGGAGAGAAGUUGGUGUGUGCAAUCUCCACUGGGAGAGCCCGGCCUACUCCAGGCCCAGGGACCGCUCACCUGCGCGUUCUGCGUGGGGAUCUGCAGGAGCAAGGCCAGGUCGGAGUAGUCGAAGGUCUCGUCCAGGGCGAGCAGAGCCCCAUGCACCCCGCUUUCUCCGUGAGAUUCGUGGCGAAUUCCUUCAGGCCCAGCCCGGACACCCAACCCAUGACUCGCUCGUUGGACCACACCAUGACGUCUGGGAACGGAAGGGACCCUCAGCCGCGCUCCCCUAGUGCUCAGGUGUGAUAAGGGAAUGGUGGCUACAAAGGAGAAAGAGACGCCGCUGAAGUCAUUUGGGGAUCGACCUGUUGUGAUGGCCUCAAAUGACAUCCAAGCACCUCAGACGUUCACUCCAGUGCGGAAACAGCAGGUUUCUUCCAUGGCGAAACCCCAUUGGUUGUCUCCCUGAUCGGCUCCGCCCAUUGGUAGUUCCGCUCCAAGGAGCCUACCUCCUGAUUGCUCAGCUCCAGCUCCUCCUCCAGCACCGCGACUCGCUCCAGCGCCAUGCGCAGCCGCUCCCGGACCUGGGGAUGAGGAUGGGGGCAGACAGGAAUGAGACGGAGAC
Molecule: long non-coding RNA, 701 nt
Filed under: Heterocephalus glaber (naked mole-rat)
Lineage: Eukaryota; Metazoa; Chordata; Mammalia; Rodentia; Bathyergidae
Description: lncRNA (ENSHGLG00000039950.1)
Source: RNAcentral